This 384-nucleotide ribosomal RNA is filed under the name uncultured bacterium. RNAcentral's name for it is "bacterial SSU rRNA". It matches the Rfam family "Bacterial small subunit ribosomal RNA", at positions 29 to 416 of the family's 1533-position model. The record is from RNAcentral.
AGCGAACGUUUGCGGCGGGCCUAACACAUGCAAGUCGAACGCACUAGCAAUAGUGAGUGGCGCACGGGUGCGUAACACGUGGGUAAUCAACCCUUCAGCCUGGGAUAACGACUCGAAGGGGUCGCUAAUACCGGAUACGGCGCGAGAGGCUUCGGCUUCUCACGAGAAAGCCACGCAAGGGGGCACUGAAGGACGAGCCUGCGGCCCAUCAGCUAGUUGGUGAGGUAAGAGCUCACCAAGGCUAAGACGGGUAGCUGGUCUGAGAGGAUGAUCAGCCACACUGGAACUGAGACACGGUCCAGACUCCUACGGGAGGCAGCAGUGGGGAAUAUUGCGCAAUGGGCGAAAGCCUGACGCAGCCACGCCGCGUGAGCGAUGAAGGCC